Molecule: ribosomal RNA, 894 nt
Filed under: uncultured bacterium
Lineage: Bacteria
Description: bacterial SSU rRNA
Rfam family: Bacterial small subunit ribosomal RNA
Source: RNAcentral
AGAGUUUGAUCCUGGCUCAGGACGAACGCUGGCGGCGUGCCUAACACAUGCAAGUCGAGCGAGGACAGAGAAGUAGCAAUACGACUUUGUUCUAGCGGCGGACGGGUGAGUAACGCGUGAGCAACCUGUCCCGAACAGGGGGAUAACGAGCCGAAAGGCUCACUAAUACCGCAUGAGACCACAACGUCACAUGACGAAGGGGUCAAAGGAGAAAUCCGGUUCGGGGUGGGCUCGCGUCUGAUUAGCUAGUUGGUGGGGUAACGGCCUACCAAGGCGACGAUCAGUAGCCGACCUGAGAGGGUGAUCGGCCACAUUGGAACUGAGAGACGGUCCAAACUCCUACGGGAGGCAGCAGUGGGGAAUAUUGGGCAAUGGGCGAAAGCCUGACCCAGCAACGCCGCGUGAAGGAAGAAGGUCUUCGGAUCGUAAACUUCUAUCCCCGGUGAAGAUAAUGACGGUAACCGGGAAGGAAGCCCCGGCUAACUACGUGCCAGCAGCCGCGGUAAUACGUAGGGGGCAAGCGUUGUCCGGAAUGAUUGGGCGUAAAGGGCGCGUAGGCGGCUCGGUAAGUCUGGAGUGAAAUUCCUGCUUUCAAGGUGGGAACUGCUUUGGAUACUGUCGGGCUUGAGUGCAGGAGAGGUAAGUGGAAUUCCCGGUGUAGCGGUGAAAUGCGUAGAGAUCGGGAGGAACACCAGUGGCGAAGGCGACUUACUGGACUGUAACUGACGCUGAGGCGCGAAAGUGUGGGGAGCAAACAGGAUUAGAUACCCUGGUAGUCCACACUGUAAACGAUGAAUGCUAGUGUAGGGGGUAUCGACCCCUUCUGUGCCGGAGUCACACAAUAGGCAUUCCGCCUGGGGAGUACGGCCGCAGUUUGAACUCAAGGAUUGACGG